Molecule: long non-coding RNA, 4049 nt
Filed under: Sus scrofa (pig)
Lineage: Eukaryota; Metazoa; Chordata; Mammalia; Artiodactyla; Suidae
Description: lncRNA (ENSSSCG00015041760.1)
Source: RNAcentral
UCUGAGGCUCGUAAGCAAUCAGCAAACCAAUCUAUAGACACUGUCAAAGGGAGUCUGCAUGGUGGAUGGAGGGUUAGAAAGAAAACAGUCUAGCAUUUGAAAAUGUCAACUCUGUUGCCACACAAGGCCUGUUUAUAUGUGGUUUCUCAUUAAACUUGCGUGACAACCUUGCAUAGAAGGUACUAAUGUUUGCGUGUCUAUUGAAGAAAAAUGAAAGCUCAGAGAGACUCUUUUUUAAAUUAAUGAAUUUACAUAUGCAUGUUUAUCUACCCUAACUUGUGCAAAAAAACCUGGAGACCCGUGAAGACAGAAGAUAUGAAAUCUGAAAUGUGGCCCCAGGUUGCUGCAAGCUCUAUGCUUUUCUCUCUUUCCCCCACCCAUGUAUCCUUCAGCCUAGGACUUUCCCAACCCUCACCUAGAACCAGGAGGGUCCAAAAUACAAUUCAAUAUGCAAAGCUUCAUUUGCAGAAGCAGCAAUGAAUUUUCAGAAGCAGAGGACAAGCUAGAGGGGGGCGGGGGCUGUCUCAACUGGGUGGAGAGUUAAUUUAGUUGCUUUCAAAAGUCAGCAAUACACGCCCAGCCCUACCUCCCAGAGCCCUGAAAGAGACGUGAACUUGAGGCCACCGCCGUACUUGCAAUCUGCAUGAUCCUGUGAUUCUGCUCAGAACAUCUAAUCUCCUUGUAAUUUUGUUCUUACAUCCAUGUCAGGGAAAUAUGAAUAGCCUCGACUACUGCUCACCGACACAGCUGCUCAGGGUGUGAGUGGGGAGAGGGGGUAUAAACACUUGGUCAGCCGUAAAUCACAGUGCAAAAGUGAGGGCUUUCUUUCAUGCCUACCUGGGUAACAGCACCCAGUCCCGUGGACCCAAUGAGACCUAACCAUCAGUAGAGCACACUCAGGGCCAAUGGCAGAGUUUAUUCUGCUAUAUUCAAAGUCAUAUUAGAGUGCCUGGCUCUGUGAUGGGAGACCAAAGGCAGACAGGGAACAAAGUCAGGGCCAUGAUGUGCUGGUUCUAGGACUGAAAUGGGGGCCCAAGGGGGAGGCUGGUAGAGUGGACUCAGGAUGGACAGGGCAGGAGCUGCUGGUGGAAGGGUAUUGGAACUUGACAGGUAAGUAGGAUUUCGCCCUGCAGACAUGGAAAAGGCGUUCCAAGCAGAGGGAACAGCGUGGCCAAGGCACAGAGGUCUGAGCAGGACAGCAUGCAGAGGGAAGCGUGGUCAUGAGCCUCACUGGUGCCAGGUGGCAGCAAGCCUGGCAGACAGCAUUUAUUCAUCAGUGAAACAUCAUUGCAACUGCCCCGUGUGACUUUUCACAGCCAGAUGCUGGGAGACAGCCCCGAAUCUCCCUGACCCAAAGGAUUGGCAGCAUUUCUUUGGCCAUUUGUUGCUCUGAUUUGCUAGCAAUUUUCUAAAAUCAAACCAAUCCACUGGGCAUAUGGGUCCCCACUGUUUUAGUAAGUAGAAAUCUAACAGUUCCAUUUCCUCCCUGGGGAAUGAGAAAACACUGAAAUAAGUAGCUGUUUCCCACAUUUACAUGGUUCCUUUCUUCUUGCUUGAAAUGACUUAUGGUCAAGGAUUAAUCUGUUAGGUGGGCAGAGAAAAAUUACAACCUCUGUCACCGUGGCUAAGGAAGAGGUAACACGCAGGGUGGGAGGGUAAUAGUUCUGCUUGGUCAGAAAAAUUAAAGACUUGGAUUCUUUGGAAUUUGAGAUGAGAACUUAAAGCCAUAAGGGAACUGGGAUGAGAUCUGGUCUAACAUACAAGUGCAAGACUCUCUUAUAAAACAGCCUGGCCAACCAGCAGGCACUGAGCUUUGGCUUGAUUCACUUCUGUUUACUAAUUUGAUGCGCUGAUGGAUCUUAACUUCCGAUGGAAGCACAAACACUGCACAUCACAAAAUGAGGGGAAAGGGAAACAGGGCAGGGGGCAAUGGGGAUUUGGGGAAAGAGGCUUAGAAUCAAAUUUAGCUCCUCUAUUUCCAUAGAUGAGGCUACAACGAUUUUAGGCAAGACACUGAAACUCUCUGAGUCUCCUCCUCUGUAGAGAGUGGGUUAUAACACCUUCCUGGCUGGGGUUGCUGUGAGGAUUGAGUGGACCAGCGCAUAUAAAGUGUCCAGUAGAGAUACCUGGCACACAGCCGGCACUCAAUAAAUGGUAAUUAUUAUUAUCUCAUUAGCCCAAACUCCCAACCAAGGCAGAAAUCCUUCUUCAAACAACUCUGACACACUAAGGAGCUAUCAGGUCUCUACUUGAAUAAAUAUUUGUUGAUCGAUUUGGUGAUCGGUUGGUUCUAAGCAGCCAGGGUCAUACACACCCUACCCUUACUUAAUCCUCUAGGUUCUCAGAAAUGUUUUAGCAACAAGGCCACAUCCAUCUCCACUGGGUGGUACCGAAGGGAGAAACCGUUCCCAGCAUGGGGCCUGACCCCAUGAAGGACUUUCAGGCUAAGCAGGACUAUUCUGGAACCUCACCAAACAACGUGAAGACACUACUGCUGAUUCACCAAACAUCCCUCUCAUCCUCUCUGCCCAGCACUUCCCCAGUAAUCUCAGAAGAGGAAAGUAGUGCUGGAUUCAAGCUCUGUCAUCAGUGGACCACAGUCCAAAUUCCAGCGUCCCCAUGUAGUUUGUCAUUAAGCCUCAGUUUCCUCAUCUACAAAAUUGGGAACAAUAAUGGUACCUACUACGCAGGGCUGUUUUGAGGGGUGAGGGGGAUCAUGCAUGUUGAUGCUUAGCACAGUGUCUGGCACAGAGUAAACACACAAUAGGAGUUAGCUAUUGUUCUUUCCUAGUACAUCUGUCCCCUUGUCCUCGCCCUGCUACCUUAGAUGCUACAGUCUGCCAUUGUUCCACUGAAAGGGAUCCUCAAGAACACACAUUAGCUCCAGAAGGACUCAGGACAGCCUUGAGUGUCAUGCCUGAGGUUUCAGGCAGGGGGCGCUCUGCCCAAGUCAGCCUGGAGACAGCACCUAACAGGUGCCGGACUCGGCCCCACAGGAGCUCAGAAUGGCAUGUUUAUGGUCUUUGAUUAAUAAAUGCAUUUGAUUUUAAAAAUGCAUCGGUUCAGUAGAUUAAAAAUAAAUAAAUAGUCUUGGAAAAGGAAAAAACUAAAUGGGAUCUAUGGAGAUUUAAAAAAAAAUUGAGCAUCCCAAUAUCUUUUCCGAUGUAUUCUCUGAAUUCCUUUCCUCCCUCUCUUCCUUCCUUCCAAAACAUGCACACAUACUGAGUGGUUACCUGUGUCAGCCUUGUGCUAGGCACUGGGAAUACAAGACAAAUAAGCCCUGCUUUCUGCCCUCAAGGAGCUCACAAUCUAGGUGGGGAGCAGACAGAAAGUGAACACAAGGGGGCAGGUCCCCCAACAGGAUCAGUACAGGUUCUGAGGAUGCUGAGGCAGAGCCUCAGACUCCAGGUGGACACAGAGGAACAAGGGUGUCUCCCAAGGAGGGGACAUGCAAACUGAGACCUUUGAACCAUUUCAUUAGAUGUUUUGGCUGGUUAUAAAAUAUGCAUAUAUAUUUUAUAAAACAUAUAUGUAGUAUAUAUUUAUUGCAAGAGACUUAGGGAGCACCGCAGUGCCAGACAAAGAAAACAUCAACCAUUUCUCACCACAGGAAGCAACCACGGAUACAUCCGUGAACAUUUCUCCAUCUUUCAUGUAUGCAGUGAACAUCAAUGAGCUCAUGAUGUCUAAACAAUUUGAUAGGCUCUCCUUUUCACUUAACAUCGAAACAUAAACUUUUUUUUCCAUCAAGCUCCAUCCAGAAGCAGGACCUUUGGAUCUCUGAUUUGGGGGACAGAACCCCGGAUCCCCAGGAGCCCAGGCUGGCCCCGAGGAGAGAAGACAAGCUGGGUUUCCGCGAGCAGGUUGAGUCAGCCGAGCAUCCUGAGUCCCACAACUGCGGAUGGCUGGAGAGCACGGCGUGGCCCUCAGGAGACAGUCCAGGCCCAGAGGGUCCUCGGCACACAGGUGGUGGUUGACGCCAUGGGAUGGAUGAGGUCCCUCAGGGAGGGUGUGCAGGGUGAGAAGAGAGAUGACUUAGGGUAAGGUCC